GCCGUCACCCACCUCGAGUGGCCGCCCGGGGGCCCGCUAACUCGCCCCGCCAAACACGGGAGACCGGGCCGAGUUACGCCCCCCUCUGGGCAGAGCAGACACCCGGGAAAGACCCCCAGCACCAGCAGCCCACCUAGGCGGCCCCUGCCCGCGCAGACCCCGCACCUCGCACUCUCACCCCCGGUCUGUCCCCGGAACCCGGAUACACCGCUUCCUCAGCCCAGGAAUGCGAAACGGACGCCCACCCCGGCUCAAAGGACGCCAGAGACCCCUCUGAUCUGUCCCCCACCCCACCCCCAGGGACACGGGACCUUGCUAAACUGCCUCUUCUGCCCCCCACCUCAAACAGCCCGGGACCCCGAAAAAUGGACCCCUUGUUCCGGAAUCCGGCUACACCAGCACAAGGAACCUCAAAACCCCAUCAAUCUUCCUCGACUCCGAAGACCCGGGACCCUCUUUGCCGCCACCCACCCACCCAUACUCAAUGCCGGAAGAACCCCAGGAGCCCCAGUAAACCGCCCCGGUGGCCGCUACACUGCCCUUCGGCGCCAGCACCCGGCUCCCACCGCACCGCCUCCUCGCCCCCCGCACUCCCGAGCUCCGCCAAGCUUCGCGCCCACCAGACAGCGCCGCGCAGUCCCCGGAGCCGCCCCCGUCCGGAGCCCGCCUGGCUGGCUGCUCCCCGACCGCUUCUCCGCAGAGACGCGCCGCGGGUUUCCUCACCUGGGCAGCGUCGGAGGGCGAGCGGACCGGGGAGCCCUGAGGCAGAGAAGCGGCGGCCCAGGCCUGCGGCGCCGCAGCUCCAACCCCUUCGCGAGGAAGCGCCUGUGUGAGGAGAACGGAAGAGCACAUGUCUUUCCCCCGCUCCUGCCCGUAGGGAAAGUGGAGAGCCAAGCUCAUUCAAUCAGAAAAACAUCUUGUGGGAAGCCAGCACGUGCACAGAAAUUCUCUAGAUGCUUGUGUUACAACUGUGAAUAAGAAAGCCCAAAACCUACCACAUGGAGACAGCUAACUAUAAUAAACCUGACAAGCAUGCAAGCUUUGUAGUCUGG
RNAcentral lists this long non-coding RNA (1052 nucleotides) under Oryctolagus cuniculus (rabbit). RNAcentral's name for it is "lncRNA (ENSOCUG00000032858.1)". Lineage: Eukaryota; Metazoa; Chordata; Mammalia; Lagomorpha; Leporidae. The record is from RNAcentral.